CUUCUCACCGUAGAAACUGAACACAGGGAGGAGAUGCCUUUACUCUGAAAUCCCACGAUACACACAGAUGCAUCAAGAUUGCCCUCAUAUAUGUGGACAGAAGGCGCAUCCUGCAAAAAUGUGAUUAAGUUGUCUUUACCCCUCAUGAUCCCACUCCAGGCCGGCAACCUCAGCUCAGAAUAGAUUCUUUUACAUGGCGCUUACUUGAGGCAAACAGGACAUGAUUACAGGAUUACAUUUCACUACUGAGCCCCAGGUUUUCUCUGGCAGACUCAUCAUCUGAGCCCUUCAUGAUUACAGGCAGCAACCUGAGCAGAGUAUCACCGGCUCCUCCCCUAGGUGACCUGUGCUGCCCCCCUGACUUAAUAAUCAAGUUGACAAGAUCUUCUCAGAACAGACAUUUACUGUUUCGGUUUUCCCGCUGGUGCUCUCUGAUCACAAGCUACCCAGUCUCCUCACUGUCCAUUGGCAUUCUUCCUGAUUGAAUGAGAACUGGCUCAGAGCCUGGACUUACCCUGAGAAAUUACAUGAUGAAGGAGGGAAAGAAAAGAGACACCUGUGCACCUCCUGGAGGGGCUAUGGAGUCAGGAAAGAACAAAGGCUUUAGAAGGCAGAAGCUACUUCUCCACCGCAACCAGGCUGAGGAGGCGUUGAGUGAAAAUGUGAAAAGAAGACGUCAUCAGGAGUGUCUAAGAAGAGAAAGGGAGUUGAACAAUUGUUACCGCUUCAGCCUGAGAUAAAUUUUCAGCUGAAUUGCUAAAAUAGGAGGAAUCUGGCCUUUUCCACUUUAGGAAAACAAUGUUCUGGAGAUGAAGCUUUUAAAGGAAAUGCUAUCUGAAUGCGUAUUGAAACAAGAAUAAUUAAACAGCCAUUGUUCUGGCUCAUUCCUUGCAAGUCUGAAAGGUUUCUGAAGUUGGGGCUCUAAUUAAAAGAAAAAUUUUCUUCUCAGAUGCAUCUCAGUGGUAUUUGUUCUGUUUUAUCCC
RNAcentral lists this long non-coding RNA (983 nucleotides) under Capra hircus (goat). RNAcentral describes it as "lncRNA (ENSCHIG00000007071.1)". Lineage: Eukaryota; Metazoa; Chordata; Mammalia; Artiodactyla; Bovidae. The record is from RNAcentral.